CCUGACUCCAGGUGGGUUAUGAACAGAAGAAACAUAGGAAACCACUAAGCAACAGAGAUCUAGAUUUCCAGCAAGUGUCCCUGCUAAUGAAGAAGAGGAAAUUCACCAACUAGAAGAUAGAUGAAACAGUGAUGAGUGAAAGCGAAAUUUUCCAUGAGGCACCAGCUGUUAGUUAAAAACAACAGUGACAAGCUAAUAGGUUGGACAAGAAUGAUGCUGGCAAGGACAACCCAGAACUGCUCCUGUCAGUCUGCAGAUCACCUGCAAUGGCAUGGCUGGGCAGGCGCAAUAGCUCCAGCCGAGCACUGCAAUUCUGCCCUACCAGUAUCCACUGCAUGUCACCCAUGCGACAGGCUCCAGUGCUAGUGCUUUGAGCAAGCAAGCACGACCCCAGCCCUGCAGAAGCUCAGACUCUGGUAGGGGACACAAAAAUACGUCAUGUGGAGUCAGCCUGAUACAGACAUGAAGUCUUAGGACAACACUUAAGAAGGCCAUAUCACACCUGAUGUUUCCAUUCUGCUUUUAAUAAAAGGACAUCACAUAUGAUGGUCCAUGGGAGAGAACACGGGCUUCAGUCAACUUUACCCUGGCCCAUGACAUCAUUCACAGCUUAAAUCAAGAAACAGGACAGGGAAUUCAGAGCCCUGCCUAAACCAGCCGCGAUUUCAAUAGACAAUGACAUUUACAUUGAGCCAACGCUAGACUGUGCGGAAUUGAAAAUCAUCCUGAUACAACCUGAUGAAAAGCAUAAGCGGGAGAGGCGAAAGCUGGGCCUGGGAGGACUUAGUCACAUUGGAAAUGUCUUUCCUAUGGGUGGUUUGGACACCUCACACCUCUUGGUCCAUCUGUGUAGUUGUCUCAAGAUCCCAGAGCACAUUCUUGCAGUGUGGACAGCUUUUCAAGUAGGGACCCUGGACUGUUUGGAGCAGAAUGAGGGGGCCCAGCCAGUGAACAUAACCUCAUUCUGGAAGCUGCAGUGGGGUGAGCGUGCAGGUGGAGAGGAGAGGGUUGGGCCCUUGGAGGGCAAAAGCAGAGGAUUAGCAGAGAGGAUGCUCGCUGUGCUGACGCCAUUGUCACCUACCCAGACUUGUUUCUGAAAGCAUCACAUUGCAGGAGGGUGCUGACAGAGGUGACACCGUCCCAGUUGCUGGAACACAUCCGCUGAACACAGGACUUGGGGGUUUUGUUUUUAUGGAGGUCUAGGGGCUGAGUGAACACCCUCACAUUGGAUGCAAAAUUUCUCUGUGCAUAUUUUUCGGGGGGGAAAACCCCUACCUUUCCUCAAAUCUUCAAGGUUCUUGAGACCCCCAGUAUGCAGAUCCUUCUGCUAACAACUGCACCAGGAGACCUCCUCAGGUACUGACUUGACUCACCCACCAACAUGGCCAGAGGACUCCCUAGAUGUGCUCAAGACUGUUGGAUCCAACACAGCCUGUGUGGGGAAGGGCAGCCACCUCCCCACUUUUUCUCUGUCUUUCUCUCGUUCUUUUUCUCCUAUGUUUUUUCCUUUGGCUCAAUGGCCUCUCUUCCCUUCUUAUCUUUCUCCUUCCUCCCACAAGUUUCCCACAUCACUUUUCUGCUUGCCUCUCCUGCCUUAUUGAUUUGACAUAUUAAUCAUUACAACGACAGCUAAAAUUCCUCUGCGCUUCAUUAAUCCAGAGGAAAAUACCAUGUCAGCUGCAGAGUGCUGUAGGGGACACUCGUGCCCUUCCUGCGGUCUGGGAUAGUGGAAAGUUCUCCGUUUCCAUUAGUGACCAAGCAGGAGGCCAUUAUGGAAGGACACGGAGGGCCUAGGGGGUGGAUGGACAGGAAAAUGGGAAUGUGGGUGGGAUCCUAUUCCUGAAAGCGUUAGUCACCCAUCGUGGGCCUGCAGGACCUGGGCAGUUCCAGGACUUCGGCUGUAGAGGCUGAGUUGUAAAACCUUUGAGGGUUGCCAGGACCAGCGUGACUUUAAUAAGGUUAAAGUGUGGCAUUUUUACAACUUUGAUUAGGAUAAAGUUCUCAGUCACAUGAGGGGAAAAGAACUAACAAGGAUAUAUCUGAACUUAGCUGGUCAGACAUCAAGGUGUGCUCCAGCGUGGCCUCUCUUCGGGCUCCACAGGGGGUCCCUUGUGCUGUGGGUCCAGUGGUCCAGCCACAAUUUCCGCCUUGCAUGUGGAGAAAGCCUGCUCACCCCUCCCUGGUCUCUGGGACUAGUGGGGGAAAUGAAUCGGACAGCUAUUUUCAGACAGGAAGAGCCUUUGGGACAAGCUGACAGAGAGAACAAAUGCCCAUUCUCUGGCCAGAAGUGUCAGCGUGACCUUGGUCUGCUAUCAUACCAUCAGCCACACUAAGAGCAAGGGAGGUUGUUCCUUUCCCUAAAUGCUGUAGGUUUCAAUGGUUUUGUUUUCUACUUUUUUAAUGACCAGAGAUUGCAUACACUCACCAGAGAGAGACCAGGUCGGGAGGGCAACAAGGAAAGCACCCCGCCAAUGGGGUGUGGUCAUGCCAUAAUCCCU
Molecule: long non-coding RNA, 2498 nt
Organism: Tupaia belangeri chinensis (Chinese tree shrew)
Lineage: Eukaryota; Metazoa; Chordata; Mammalia; Scandentia; Tupaiidae
Exons: 3
Source: RefSeq, a predicted model, not a curated record